RNAcentral lists this ribosomal RNA (496 nucleotides) under uncultured bacterium. RNAcentral's name for it is "partial 16S ribosomal RNA". It matches the Rfam family "Bacterial small subunit ribosomal RNA", at positions 29 to 507 of the family's 1533-position model. The record is from RNAcentral.
AUGAACGCUGGCGGCGUGCCUAAUCCAUGCCAGUCGAGCGAACAGACGAGGAGCUUGCUCCUCUGACGUUAGCGGCGGACGGGUGAGUAACACGUGGAUAACCUACCUAUAAGACUGGGAUAACUUCGGGAAACCGGAGCUAAUACCGGAUAAUAUAUUGAACCGCAUGGUUCAAUAGUGAAAGACGGUUUUGCUGUCACUUAUAGAUGGAUCCGCGCCGCAUUAGCUAGUUGGUAAGGUAACGGCUUACCAAGGCAACGAUGCGUAGCCGACCUGAGCGGGUGAUCGGCCACACUGGAACUGAGACACGGUCCAGACUCCUACGGGAGGCAGCAGUAGGGAAUCUUCCGCAAUGGGCGAAAGCCUGACGGAGCAACGCCGCGUGAGUGAUGAAGGUCUUCGGAUCGUAAAACUCUGUUAUUAGGGAAGAACAAAUGUGUAAGUAACUAUGCACGUCUUGACGGUACCUAAUCAGAAAGCCACGGCUAACUACGUG